UACGAAGGGGGCUAGCGUUGUUCGGAAUUACUGGGCGUAAAGCGCACGUAGGCGGAUAUUUAAGUCAGGGGUGAAAUCCCAGAGCUCAACUCUGGAACUGCCUUUGAUACUGGGUAUCUUGAGUAUGGAAGAGGUAAGUGGAAUUCCGAGUGUAGAGGUGAAAUUCGUAGAUAUUCGCAAGAACACCAGUGGCGAAGGCGGCUCACUGGCCCGGUACUGACGCUGAGGUGACGAAGCGGUGGGAGCAAACAGGGAUUAGAAUCACCUAGUAC
This 272-nucleotide ribosomal RNA is filed under the name uncultured bacterium. Its description in RNAcentral is "partial 16S ribosomal RNA". It matches the Rfam family "Bacterial small subunit ribosomal RNA", at positions 524 to 793 of the family's 1533-position model. The record is from RNAcentral.